CCUACGGGCGGCAGCAGUGGGGAAUAUUGCGCAAUGGGCGAAAGCCUGACGCAGCGACGCCGCGUGAGGGAAGAAGGUCGUCGGAGCGUAAACCCCGGUCAGCAGGGAAGAAAGGUCACGGGGCUAACCAGCAGUGAAUUGACGGUACCGGCAAAGGAAGCACCGGCUAACUCCGUGCCAGCAGCCGCGGUAAUACGGAGGGUGCGAGCGUUAAUCGGAAUUACUGGGCGUAAAGCGCUCGUAGGCGGUAUGUCAAGUGACGGGCGAAAUCCCCGCGCUCAACCUGGGAACUGCCUUUGAAACUGGCAGCCUGGAGUGUGUGAGAGGAUAGUGGAAUUCCUGGUGU
Molecule: ribosomal RNA, 346 nt
Filed under: uncultured bacterium
Lineage: Bacteria
Description: partial 16S ribosomal RNA
Rfam family: Bacterial small subunit ribosomal RNA
Source: RNAcentral